GGCAAUCUUUGGCAGCCAGACACUACCUAACUCCAAUUUAUGGACAAUGAAUAAUGGUGCAGGUUGUACAAUUUCCAGUGCCACAGCUAGUGGCCAGAAGCCAACCACUCUGCCACAAAAAGUGGUACCACCUCCAAGUUCUUGCGCCUCCCUGGUUCCCAAACCCCCACCCAACCACAAACAAGUGCUCAGAAGGGCAACAUCCCAGAAAACUUCCAAAGGGUCCUCCGCGGAAGGGCAGCUGAAUGGACUCCAAAGCAGCCUUAACCCUGCAGCCUUUGUGCCCAUCACCAGCUCUACAGAUCCUGCUCACACUAAAAUAUGAACCACAAACACACAGAGAAACAACCUGUUCACCACUCCUGGGUGCAUGAUUGAGGGUGAAGCAUCCACCAGCACUUCAAGGGGUCCAUAGUAUUUUUUUUUUUUUGCUGCCUCAAAGUCCCCAAAGCCUUCGAGCAGAAGUGGCAGUAGAUGGUUGCUAAUCAGCCAAUGCAGACUUUCACUGGGACAACAGGAAAGCAGAUCUUCUGGGUUUUGAUGGAACUUGGCAGUGGGGACAUUCAGCUGAUGCAUUAUAUACCCCGUCAGAGCACACUUGUAUCUUUUACCUUCCCUUUGCCCCAUGCCCCCAAACUGCUUAAGUCUUCUCUGUCCCUUUACUGCUGCUGCACAGAGAUGAUAUAAAAGAGGCUCUUUGGCUAUUUG
RNAcentral lists this long non-coding RNA (708 nucleotides) under Pan troglodytes (chimpanzee). RNAcentral describes it as "long non-coding RNA NONPTRT004861". Lineage: Eukaryota; Metazoa; Chordata; Mammalia; Primates; Hominidae. The record is from RNAcentral.